UUAUCGCGUCUGCUAUGCAUCCAGUGCACA
RNAcentral lists this small RNA (30 nucleotides) under Bombyx mori (domestic silkworm). RNAcentral's name for it is "piRNA piR-bmo-1842716". The record is from RNAcentral. Lineage: Eukaryota; Metazoa; Arthropoda; Insecta; Lepidoptera; Bombycidae.